GUAUUAUAUGAAAGGAAAAGGUUAGCAUUCCCCUUGACAAGGAUGGAAGAGGCCUUUGGGCUUGACAUUCACAUUCAAUUAAGGCAUUGCCACCUACUUGGUGGCAUCUAACCAUUGUUUUUA
This is a small nuclear RNA of Nycticebus coucang (slow loris), 123 nucleotides long. Lineage: Eukaryota; Metazoa; Chordata; Mammalia; Primates; Lorisidae. The record is from RefSeq and is a predicted model, not a curated record.